This 89-nucleotide non-coding RNA is filed under the name Deltaproteobacteria bacterium. RNAcentral describes it as "ZTP sequence". It matches the Rfam family "ZMP/ZTP riboswitch aptamer (pfl RNA motif)". Rfam says of the family: Previously known as pfl RNA. ZMP is also known as AICAR. Lineage: Bacteria; Pseudomonadati; Myxococcota; Myxococcia. The record is from RNAcentral.
AGACCUUUUCGCAACUGACGGAAUCAAGAUGGGGGACCAUCGGGGAGCGAGGAGGCGGGUUUUUAACGUCGACCGUCUGGGCACUCGUU